CAUGCAAGUCGAGCGGCAGCACAGAGAAACUUGUUUCUCGGGUGGCGAGCGGCGGACGGGUGAGUAAUGCCUGGGAAAUUGCCCUGAUGUGGGGGAUAACCAUUGGAAACGAUGGCUAAUACCGCAUAAUAGCUUCGGCUCAAAGAGGGGGACCUUCGGGCCUCUCGCGUCAGGAUAUGCCCAGGUGGGAUUAGCUAGUUGGUGAGGUAAUGGCUCACCAAGGCGACGAUCCCUAGCUGGUCUGAGAGGAUGAUCAGCCACACUGGAACUGAGACACGGUCCAGACUCCUACGGGAGGCAGCAGUGGGGAAUAUUGCACAAUGGGCGCAAGCCUGAUGCAGCCAUGCCGCGUGUGUGAAGAAGGCCUUCGGGUUGUAAAGCACUUUCAGUCGUGAGGAAGGUGGUGUUGUUAAUAGCAGCAUCAUUUGACGUUAGCGACAGAAGAAGCACCGGCUAACUCCGUGCCAGCAGCCGCGGUAAUACGGAGGGUGCGAGCGUUAAUCGGAAUUACUGGGCGUAAAGCGCAUGCAGGUGGUUUGUUAAGUCAGAUGUGAAAGCCCGGGGCUCAACCUCGGAAUAGCAUUUGAAACUGGCAAGCUAGAGUACUGUAGAGGGGGGUAGAAUUU
Molecule: ribosomal RNA, 626 nt
Filed under: Vibrio sp. GNNP7_III
Lineage: Bacteria; Pseudomonadati; Pseudomonadota; Gammaproteobacteria; Vibrionales; Vibrionaceae
Description: bacterial SSU rRNA
Rfam family: Bacterial small subunit ribosomal RNA
Source: RNAcentral